This 224-nucleotide long non-coding RNA is filed under the name Elaeis guineensis (African oil palm). Its description in RNAcentral is "long non-coding RNA (EGUI_LNC053876)". Lineage: Eukaryota; Viridiplantae; Streptophyta; Magnoliopsida; Arecales; Arecaceae. The record is from RNAcentral.
AUGAGUCGACUCAUGAACUUCAAACCUUCAUAACUCCAAAAAUAUAAGUCCAAAAAUCAUGAAACUUUCACCAAUAGAUUACAUAUCAUUUGUUCUACACGAUGAUGCUAUCAAAUCAGAGUUUUGAUGAAAUUAUGAUUUUUCCCCUGUAGAGCAUAAGGUCUUUUUCAAAUAAAAAAUAUUUGUAUUUCUUCAAACUAUUUUGUAGUCAUCAAAAUCAAUCU